Apiosordaria backusii is the source of this 89-nucleotide non-coding RNA. The record is from the annotation of a GenBank genome assembly. NCBI's taxonomy places the organism in Eukaryota, Fungi, Ascomycota, Sordariomycetes, Sordariales, Lasiosphaeriaceae.
GCCCGUAUAGCUCAGUGGUAGAGCGCAUCACUCGUAAGAAAAAUUGACUUGAUAUGAUGAGGUCCGCGGUUCAAUCCCGCGUGGGGGCA